RNAcentral lists this unclassified non-coding RNA (2219 nucleotides) under Hevea brasiliensis (rubber tree). Lineage: Eukaryota; Viridiplantae; Streptophyta; Magnoliopsida; Malpighiales; Euphorbiaceae. The record is from RNAcentral.
GACAAAACAAGGGUCAAUAAUAAAUUACUUCAAAACUAUUGUUAUGUAGAUUUCUUGAGUAAGAGAACAAAACUUCAUGAUUGGGAUGCAGACCACAAGUCAUUCAAUUGUUCAACAUUCAAUGAAAAUCUACACACUCUUUGUGAAGAAAGACUCUUCUUAAAGAAAGGAGAAGAGAAGAUGGGAGGGAGUUGUGCUCUAGAAGAUUGAUUCUCAUCUUUUCAACAACUUGCCUUUUCCUUGCAUCUAACUCUCUCUCACCUAGCUCUCACGAAUUCUGAUAUACACGUGCGUGUGGGGCUCUGGGUUUACAAAUUAACCUGUUAAAAAGAAAUACAGGAAUUACCAAUUUUUCUUCAAUAAGCUUUUUCUUCUGUAUAAAAAAAUAAUUGAACAAAAAAAAGCUUUUAAAUCAAGAGUUCUUUUUCUCUUAGGACGCCCCUCUAUGUUCGUUUUACAGUCUAAAGAUCAAAUAUCAAUUUCUCCUUAACAAUGUAAUGAAUAUUACCACUGCACUCAACACUUGUUUAUUUUCCACUUAAGAGUUUCAUACUGAAUAUAAAAUAUUAACCUAUAUAACUAACAUGAAUAUAGUGGUCCGAGUAAUGGAAUACACGUAUACCUCUUCCCAGCAUAUAUCCAAAAAUUGCACAAGGAGACAACAUUGAACAACUCACGCACCAUGGGUAGUUCAUAUUGAAGCUGAACCCAUAACUCAGACAAAGAUUUAAAACGUGCCAGCAAGCCCAACUCAAACAAGCCUUUUACUUAAAUCAAUUUUCGUCUACUGCCGGAAAGCCCAAAUUAAAGUCGAAUCCAUCCCAUGCAUAUCACGGACCAGUCUGAGUCCUCCUCAAGCACCGUUUCUUAACUCCCUGCUGCUGAUUCAUCAUCUCCAUGACCUGAUUUUUCUGCAUUUCCAUGACUUCCGCCUGUUUCUUUUGCAAUUUUCGGUUCUCCUCUUUUAUCUUUUCAACUUCUGCUUCCAACUCCAUGGUAUAAGCCUGCUUGCGAGCCCGUGACCUUGCAGCUGACUCUCUGUUCUUAAUCAUUCUUCUCUGCCUCCUCUCAACCACCUUCUCCACAGCACCAGUGGCUCUCCUUCCCCUUAAACCUCCAUUAAAGACAUAAGGAACUGGCGACACUGAAGAUGUGUCCCCAUUACUCUUUGUAAUCCCAUCUGACGACAGCUGGUUUGCAGGUGAUCCCGUUGCAACACCUCCUAAUCCAACCAUUCCCAAAGCUCCACCCUGCAUCAAACCACCGCUAAUCCCCUGAUCCCCAAUCCCCAUGAUUCCCCCCUUAAUUCCUGGACUAGUUUGCAAAGGCAUCUGUGUCACAUAUCCCAAAUUAGGCUGCUUCGGAAAUAUUUGUUGUUGCUGCUGAUGCUGUACCUGUGCCUGGUAUGAUCUGACCCCAUUAACAUUGAAAGGCAGAUUCGAGGAAUGCAUAGAAAUCUGAUUAGUAUUAUUAUUGUUCAAUCCCAAGCCUCUAUUCUGCUGAAACCCAAUUCCUAAAGCAGAAUUAUUCCCUGACCUGGAUAAAUCACCAAAAAAACUACCAUUAGCAUUAAGCUUUGCAGCUAAUUGAGCAUCUUCUCUCACCACCCCAGCUCUCACCAAAAACUCCUCUAAAGUUAUCUCCCCUAAAGUUUGCUGCCUCUGGGGCAAAUUAACUGCUCCAGUAACAGCCCCAUUCCCAUAUUCCUUCGAUAUGUCUUUCCACACCUCAUCCACUGUCUUUUGACUAAUGGUACGCGGCAGGGUCAAAGAGCCUUGGCGCUGCAGACCCUCUUGGGCAACAGUAGAGGAGGCUACCAUGUUCUGUGUUUCCUCUGCAGUCCAUAUAUUCUUGAGCAGCUCAUCCAUGUUCAUAGACCCAAAGUCCUUUCCUAUACCCCCCACGGUGCUCUGAAAUUCAUCGAAGGUCAACGAGUAGAUGGAUGGCUGUCUGGCCAAUGAAAAGUUCCCCGGCGGGCGGCUACCGCUGCCCCCUCCACCACCAGCGUCCGACGAAUGGUCGUUGGGGAAGUUCUUGAAGUUGAUAUUAGUCCCCAUUUCGUUAAUAUCGUUAAUAUAUAUACAUAUAUUUCUCUUUGAUUUUGGUGGCUGCUUUGUCUGCUGUUUAUGGGUCCUUUCUUCUUCGAGAAUUUAGGUAAUGGUGGAAGAGCCAAGUGUCUGUUGUCUCCGAAUUUUUUUUUAUAGCUUUUAAGAGAGGGC